This 481-nucleotide ribosomal RNA is filed under the name uncultured bacterium. Its description in RNAcentral is "bacterial SSU rRNA". It matches the Rfam family "Bacterial small subunit ribosomal RNA", at positions 28 to 521 of the family's 1533-position model. The record is from RNAcentral.
GAUGAACGCUGGCGGUAUGCCUAACACAUGCAAGUCGUACGAGAGUUUUUAACUCUAGUGGCGGACGGGUGAGUAACACGUGAGAAUUUACCUUUAGGAGGGGGAUAACAAUUGGAAACGAAUGCUAAUACCCCAUAUGCUUUUGAGUGAAAUGGAUUUAUAAUUGUCUGCCUAAAGAAAAGCUCGCGGCUGAUUAGCUUGUUGGUAAGGUAAGAGCUUACCAAGGCGACGAUCAGUAUCUGGUUUGAGAGGACGAUCAGACACACUGGAACUGAGACACGGUCCAGACUCCUACGGGAGGCAGCAGUGGGGAAUUUUCCGCAAUGGGCGAAAGCCUGACGGAGCAAUACCGCGUGAGGGAAGAAUGCCUAUGGGUUGUAAAGCACUUUCAGCGAGGAGGAAAGGUUGAUGCCUAAUACGCAUCAGCUGUGACGUUACUCGCAGAAGAAGCACCGGCUAACUCCGUGCCAGCAGCCGCGGU